Molecule: ribosomal RNA, 501 nt
Filed under: uncultured bacterium
Lineage: Bacteria
Description: partial 16S ribosomal RNA
Rfam family: Bacterial small subunit ribosomal RNA
Source: RNAcentral
AUUGAACGCUGGCGGCAGGCUUAACACAUGCAAGUCGAGCGGAGGUGAGGUGCUUGCACCUUAUCUUAGCGGCGGACGGGUGAGUAAUGCUUAGGAAUCUGCCUAUUAGUGGGGGACAACAUUCCGAAAGGAAUGCUAAUACCGCAUACGUCCUACGGGAGAAAGCAGGGGAUCUUCGGACCUUGCGCUAAUAGAUGAGCCUGAGUCGGAUUAGCUAGUUGGUGGGGUAAAGGGCUACCAAGGCAACGAUCUGUAGCGGGUCUGAGAGGAUGAUCCGCCACACUGGGACUGAGACACGGCCCAGACUCCUACGGGAGGCAGCAGUGGGGAAUAUUGGACAAUGGGGGGAACCCUGAUCCAGCCAUGCCGCGUGUGUGAAGAAGGCCUUAUGGUUGUAAAGCACUUUAAGCGAGGAGGAGGCUACUGAGACUAAUACUCUUGGAUAGUGGACGUUACUCGCAGAAUAAGCACCGGCUAACUCUGUGCCAGCCGCCGCCGUAA